GUGAGGAAUAUUGGUCAAUGGGCGCAAGCCUGAACCAGCCAUCCCGCGUGAAGGAAGACGGCCCUAUGGGUUGUAAACUUCUUUUCCAGUGGAAGAAAAUUCCGUACGUGUACGGAACUGCCGGUACUCUGGGAAUAAGCAUCGGCUAACUCCGUGCCAGCAGCCGCGGUAAUACGGAGGAUGCGAGCGUUAUCCGGAUUUAUUGGGUUUAAAGGGUGCGUAGGCGGAUUAAUAAGUCAGUGGUGAAAACCUGCAGCUUAACUGUAGAACUGCCAUUGAUACUGUUAGUCUUGAGUACGGUCAAGGUAGGCGGAAUGUGUAAUGUAGCGGUGAAAUGCUUAGAUAUUACACAGAACACCGAUUGCGAAGGCAGCUUACUGGGCCGCAACUGACGCUGAUGCACGAAAGCGUGGGGAGCGAACAGGAUUAGAUACCCCAGUAGUCC
RNAcentral lists this ribosomal RNA (445 nucleotides) under uncultured bacterium. RNAcentral's name for it is "bacterial SSU rRNA". It matches the Rfam family "Bacterial small subunit ribosomal RNA", at positions 354 to 796 of the family's 1533-position model. The record is from RNAcentral.